CCCUGAGCACAGGCAGAGCAAGAGGAAGAUUGGACAAUUCCAACAGGGAGGUGACUCUUGUUCUCUUACAUAUGAUGGAAUAAGGCAACUGCUGCCCAGGAGGUUAAGACUUGGCUGAGGCUGGAGAGAAAAAUGACAUGUGUCAGUGGAGCCAGUGGGAUCACCAGCAGGGUCUCCUAGAAGCGCAGGCAGUGGAGCAUAAUCGAGAGGAGCAUAGAACAACAUGCCAUAGAGACCUGGAGUGAGAAAGGGACACCCCCAGACUCUGGCUAGUGAGGCAGUGCCACUGGGGAUGAGAGAAGCCUGCCCACAGCUUUGGGAUCACCAGCAUCCAUCCAUCCAGCCAACCUACAGCACAGACAUUAUACAGAAGGAGUAAAGGAGGAACUGCCAAUGCCAACACCAAGGUACCUACUGCAUUCCGUGAUCAUUAUUAUCUCUGAACUUAAAGGUGUAAACUCAUUCCAAUCUACAUGAGCAAGAAAACGCUUUCCAAGCUCCACUCAGGGUUGCAGCACAGUGGGGAACACUGCUCUCAGAGGAACUCAGAGAUCCUAAGAUUAGCCCCAUUCAGAGCA
Molecule: long non-coding RNA, 578 nt
Organism: Erinaceus europaeus (western European hedgehog)
Lineage: Eukaryota; Metazoa; Chordata; Mammalia; Eulipotyphla; Erinaceidae
Exons: 4
Source: RefSeq, a predicted model, not a curated record